GACGAACGCUGGCGGCGUGCCUAAUACAUGCAAGUAGAACGCUGAAGAGAGGAGCUUGCUCUUCUUGGAUGAGUUGCGAACGGGUGAGUAACGCGUAGGUAACCCGCCUUGUAGCGGGGGAUAACUAUUGGAAACGAUAGCUAAUACCGCAUAACAAUGGAUGACCCAUGUCAUUUAUUUGAAAGGGGCAAAUGCUCCACUACAAGAUGGACCUGCGUUGUAUUAGCUAGUAGGUGAGGUAACGGCUCACCUAGGCGACGAUACAUAGCCGACCUGAGAGGGUGAUCGGCCACACUGGGACUGAGACACGGCCCAGACUCCUACGGGAGGCAGCAGUAGGGAAUCUUCGGCAAUGGGGGCAACCCUGACCGAGCAACGCCGCGUGAGUGAAGAAGGUUUUCGGAUCGUAAAGCUCUGUUGUAAGUCAAGAACGAGUGUGAGAGUGGAAAGUUCACACUGUGACGGUAGCUUACCAGAAAGGGACGGCUAACUACGUG
RNAcentral lists this ribosomal RNA (497 nucleotides) under uncultured bacterium. RNAcentral describes it as "partial 16S ribosomal RNA". It matches the Rfam family "Bacterial small subunit ribosomal RNA", at positions 28 to 507 of the family's 1533-position model. The record is from RNAcentral.